Molecule: ribosomal RNA, 672 nt
Filed under: Mycetocola sp.
Lineage: Bacteria; Bacillati; Actinomycetota; Actinomycetes; Micrococcales; Microbacteriaceae
Description: bacterial SSU rRNA
Rfam family: Bacterial small subunit ribosomal RNA
Source: RNAcentral
GAUGCAGAGCUUGCUCUGCUGAUCAGUGGCGAACGGGUGAGUAACACGUGAGUAACCUGCCCUUGACUCUGGGAUAAGCGCUGGAAACGGCGUCUAAUACCGGAUACGACCUUCCCCGGCAUCGGGUGGGGGUGGAAAGAUUUUUUGGUCAAGGAUGGACUCGCGGCCUAUCAGCUUGUUGGUGAGGUAAUGGCUCACCAAGGCGACGACGGGUAGCCGGCCUGAGAGGGUGACCGGCCACACUGGGACUGAGACACGGCCCAGACUCCUACGGGAGGCAGCAGUGGGGAAUAUUGCACAAUGGGCGAAAGCCUGAUGCAGCAACGCCGCGUGAGGGAUGACGGCCUUCGGGUUGUAAACCUCUUUUGGCAGGGAAGAAGCGAAAGUGACGGUACCUGCAGAAAAAGCACCGGCUAACUACGUGCCAGCAGCCGCGGUAAUACGUAGGGUGCGAGCGUUGUCCGGAAUUAUUGGGCGUAAAGAGCUCGUAGGCGGUUUGUCGCGUCUGCUGUGAAAUCCCGAGGCUCAACCUCGGGCCUGCAGUGGGUACGGGCAAACUAGAGUGCAGUAGGGGAGACUGGAAUUCCUGGUGUAGCGGUGGAAUGCGCAGAUAUCAGGAGGAACACCGAUGGCGAAGGCAGGUCUCUGGGCUGUAACUGACGCUGAGGAGCG